UACGGGGGGGGCAAGCGUUGUUCGGAAUUACUGGGCGUAAAGGGCGCGUAGGCGGCCUUCUAAGUCGAACGUGAAAUCCCCGGGCUCAACCCGGGAACUGCGUCCGAUACUGGAAGGCUUGAAUCCGGGAGAGGGAUGUGGAAUUCCAGGUGUAGCGGUGAAAUGCGUAGAUAUCUGGAGGAACACCGGUGGCGAAGGCGACAUCCUGGACCGGUAUUGACGCUGAGGUGCGAAAGCGUGGGGAGCAAACAGG
This 253-nucleotide ribosomal RNA is filed under the name uncultured bacterium. Its description in RNAcentral is "partial 16S ribosomal RNA". It matches the Rfam family "Bacterial small subunit ribosomal RNA", at positions 524 to 776 of the family's 1533-position model. The record is from RNAcentral.